RNAcentral lists this ribosomal RNA (406 nucleotides) under uncultured bacterium. RNAcentral describes it as "partial 16S ribosomal RNA". It matches the Rfam family "Bacterial small subunit ribosomal RNA", at positions 30 to 526 of the family's 1533-position model. The record is from RNAcentral.
AUUGAACGCUGGCGGCAGGCCUAAUACAUGCAAGUCGAGCGAGCGGCGGACGGGUGAGUAAUGUAUGGGGAUCUGCCAGAUAGAGGGGGAUAACUACUGGAAACGGUGGCUAAUACCGCAUACUUUACGAUGAACCCAUAUGGGAUUAGCUAGUAGGUGGGGGAAAGGCUCACCUAGUCGACGAUCUCUAGAUGGGCUGAGAGGGUGAUCGGCCACACGGGGACUGAGACACGGCCCAGACUCCUACGGGAGGCAGCAGUUGGGAAUAUUUCACAAUGGUCGAAAGCCUGAUGCAGCCAUGCCGCGUGUAUGAGGAAGGCCUUCGGGUUGUAAAAUACUGUCAGCGGGGAGGCGUUACCCGUACAGAAAGCAACGGCUAACUCCGUGCCAGCAGCCGCGGUAAUAC